This 377-nucleotide ribosomal RNA is filed under the name uncultured bacterium. Its description in RNAcentral is "bacterial SSU rRNA". It matches the Rfam family "Bacterial small subunit ribosomal RNA", at positions 523 to 898 of the family's 1533-position model. The record is from RNAcentral.
AUACGUAGGUGGCAAGCGUUGUCCGGAUUUACUGGGCGUAAAGGAUGUGUAGGCGGAUGCUUAAGUGAGAUGUGAAAGCCCCGAGCUUAACUUGGGGACUGCAUUUCAAACUGGGUAUCUAGAGUGCAGGAGAGGAAAGCGGAAUUCCUAGUGUAGCGGUGAAAUGCGUAGAGAUUAGGAAGAACAUCAGUGGCGAAGGCGGCUUUCUGGACUGUAACUGACGCUGAGGCAUGAAAGCGUGGGGAGCAAACAGGAUUAGAUACCCUGGUAGUCCACGCCGUAAACGAUGAGUACUAGGUGUAGGAGGUAUCGACUCCUUCCGUGCCGCAGUUAACACAAUAAGUACUCCGCCUGGGAAGUACGGUCGCAAGAUUAAA